GUUGGGGAGCUGCAUGAGGGAGGAACCAGUCUUGGUCCUAAAUAGUUCCUCAAUUUGAUGCUGGCAAACUUGAUGACUUUGUGGACGAUGUAGCCUGCAAGAUGAAAGAGAAUACAUUUCUCAGUUUUUGUGAGGAAGUCUGCCAAAAAGCUACUGUGGUCUUCCUGAUAGCUCCCAGAGCUGAUGGUGGUGAGGAACUGCCCCACAGAUAUGAUUCUCAGUGCAUGAUGGAAUUCCACUGGAGUUGGGACAGGAUUUUUAGACCUCACACAGCUGAAGAUGGACGAUGUUCUGGAGGAAGGUGAUGGCCUUUUGGUACUCCUCCAUCUUGAGCCUGCUCAGGGCUGUAAUUGGAUGGCGAGAUGACAUGAGAUCAAACCAACGAUCAACCUGCUCCAGGAACCACGCUGUCGUCAGGUAGGACAGAGGGCGGUUUUCUUGCUGCACCAUGUAUUUCAGCCCAGCACUUGUAGCCUUACUGAAUACAUUUAGAGCAAGACCAACCUUCAUCUUAUCAAAGUGACUUGGCUCGAUGGCUGCUGCUGAAAGAUGGGGAGCUAUUUUUAAUGCCAUCCCUUCUUGAAAGGUCAAUAAGUCCUUAAUGGGGACCACUGAAACCUCGUUAGAGGGGAGGUUCUCUCUGUUUACAACAUCCUCAGGAAUU
Molecule: long non-coding RNA, 664 nt
Organism: Trematomus bernacchii (emerald rockcod)
Lineage: Eukaryota; Metazoa; Chordata; Actinopteri; Perciformes; Nototheniidae
Exons: 4
Source: RefSeq, a predicted model, not a curated record